GACGAACGCUGGCGGCGUGCUUAACACAUGCAAGUCGAACGGAAAGGCCCUGCUUUUGUGGGGUGCUCGAGUGGCGAACGGAUGAGUAACACGUGAGUAACCUGCCCUUGACUUUGGGAUAACUUCAGGAAACUGGGGCUAAUACCGGAUAGGAGCUCCUGAUGCAUGGUGGGGGUUGGAAAGUUUCGGCGGUGGGGGAUGGACUCGCGGCUUAUCAGCUUGUUGGUGGGGUAGUGGCUUACCAAGGCUUUGACGGGUAGCCGGCCUGAGAGGGUGACCGGCCACAUUGGGACUGAGAUACGGCCCAGACUCCUACGGGAGGCAGCAGUGGGGAAUAUUGCACAAUGGGCGGAAGCCUGAUGCAGCAACGCCGCGUGCGGGAUGACGGCCUUCGGGUUGUAAACCGCUUUCGCCUGUGACGAAGCGUGAGUGACGGUAAUGGGUAAAGAAGCACCGGCUAACUACGUG
This 468-nucleotide ribosomal RNA is filed under the name uncultured bacterium. Its description in RNAcentral is "partial 16S ribosomal RNA". It matches the Rfam family "Bacterial small subunit ribosomal RNA", at positions 28 to 507 of the family's 1533-position model. The record is from RNAcentral.